Long non-coding RNA from Vidua macroura (Pin-tailed whydah), 606 nucleotides. RefSeq lists it as uncharacterized. The transcript has 3 exons. The record is from RefSeq and is a predicted model, not a curated record. Lineage: Eukaryota; Metazoa; Chordata; Aves; Passeriformes; Viduidae.
ACACUCUUGAAAACUGUGAGGGAAUGGAAUGGAAUGGAAUGGAAUGGAAUGGAAUGGAAUGGAAUGGAAUGGAGAGCUUUGGCUUUUUGGCUUGGGCUGUCUUGCAGUUGCAAAGAAGAUGUCUUGACUAUGAGAAGGUUAGGAUUUACAUAAGCUGUGGCAGGGUCUUCUCUGAUCUGAUCUCAUUACUGCAGGAGGUGGGCUGAUGCUCUCCAGGGGUAGUACAUGGCCAAGAAAUGUAAAAAGGUACUGAAGCAGUAGGAAAGCAGCAUCCUGGCUUUUCUAGCAGAAGUCAUAGAUUCUAGCAGAGAGCCAGUUAAGAGGAACAAGGAGGGCAGAACCUGAUCAGAACGUGCCAGUAUCUUUUCUCCCUGCCUGAUGGGAGAUCAAGGAGGCUUAAAAUCUCUCUGGUGUUUUGGAUGACUGGUCAUCUGUGGAAAGGGGACCAGUUGAAGGUGAAAUGGCUGAGACAGUUGCAUCAAACCAUCCUCAGAGAAACAAACAGAUCCCAAAUGUGAGCAUGGUCCCUUCCCCAACAACUCGUAUGUGAUGUGCAGUCACAAAGUGAAACAUUCCAGGAAAUAAAGGCAACAGGCAUGACUCACA